AAAGCGCACGCAGGCGGUUUGUUAAGUCAGAUGUGAAAUCCCCGAGCUUAACUUGGGAACUGCAUUUGAAACUGGCAAGCUAGAGUCUUGUAGAGGGGGGUAGAAUUCCAGGUGUAGCGGUGAAAUGCGUAGAGAUCUGGAGGAAUACCGGUGGCGAAGGCGGCCCCCUGGACAAAGACUGACGCUCAGGUGCGAAAGCGUGGGGAGCAAACAGGAUUAGAUACCCCGGU
Molecule: ribosomal RNA, 230 nt
Filed under: uncultured bacterium
Lineage: Bacteria
Description: partial 16S ribosomal RNA
Rfam family: Bacterial small subunit ribosomal RNA
Source: RNAcentral